RNAcentral lists this RNase P RNA (387 nucleotides) under Lentibacillus sp. CBA3610. Its description in RNAcentral is "Bacterial RNase P class B". It matches the Rfam family "Bacterial RNase P class B". From Rfam's summary of the family: Ribonuclease P (RNase P) is a ubiquitous endoribonuclease, found in archaea, bacteria and eukarya as well as chloroplasts and mitochondria. Its best characterised activity is the generation of mature 5'-ends of tRNAs by cleaving the 5'-leader elements of precursor-tRNAs. The record is from Rfam by way of RNAcentral. Lineage: Bacteria; Bacillati; Bacillota; Bacilli; Caryophanales; Bacillaceae.
GUACUUGCGUAAUCGCUGUAUAUGUCACAUAUACAGAGGAAAGUCCAUGCUCACACAGGCUGAGAUGCUUGUAGUGUUCGUGCUUGACGAAAUCAUAAGUCAAGGUAGCCUUGAUGGCUAACGGCAGUGGAAAAUCCUAACUCGUAAGACAAGGAUGAGUACACUUGAAAGUGCCACAGUGACGCAGUCGGCCUGGAAACAGUCCGAAUGGAACGCGGUAAACCCCACGAGUGAGCAACCCAAAUAUUGGUAGGGGCACCUUUGAAUAGGGAAGUGAACCGAAAAAGGGACAAGUAUUCUCACAAAUACUUGUAGAUAGAUGGUUACGACCGAUGUACAAGGCUGACCACCGUCGAAGUACAACGGAACAGAACAUGGCUUAUCAAG